UGGCUAUCAAUAAAAAAUAACAGUAGUUAAAUAGCCGCGGUAACUCUGACCGUGAUAAAGUAGCAUAAUCACUCGUCAUUUAAUUGGUGACUGGAAUGAAUGGUUACACGAAUCUUCGACUGUCUCGACAAUCAGUAGUAUGAAUUUAAAAUAGUAGUGAAGAUGCUACUUAUUAAUUGCAAGACGAAAAGACCCUAUCGAGCUUUACUAAAGACUUAAAUUUAUUGAAUAAAAAGAUAAAUAUAUUUUCUAGCAAAAUUUAAGUUGGUUAGUUUGGUUGGGGCGACCACCUCUAAAAUAGUAUCAGAGGUAAUCUAAUGGUUAUUAUUAAAUUAACAAAAGCCUAACUGAAAACACACAAGUUAACCAGGUACGAACGGUAGGAUAUAAUGACCCGCUGGAAACUUCCUAAAAUCCAACGUCCAUGAAAAAAGUUACCGUAGGGAUAACAGGGUAAUAUUCUUAGAGAGUUCAUAUCGAUAGGAAUGUUUGCCACCUCGA
This 501-nucleotide ribosomal RNA is filed under the name Versuriga anadyomene. Its description in RNAcentral is "partial 16S ribosomal RNA". It matches the Rfam family "Bacterial large subunit ribosomal RNA", at positions 1897 to 2529 of the family's 2925-position model. Lineage: Eukaryota; Metazoa; Cnidaria; Scyphozoa; Rhizostomeae; Mastigiidae. The record is from RNAcentral.